This 318-nucleotide RNase P RNA is filed under the name Flavobacterium sp. CS20. RNAcentral describes it as "Bacterial RNase P class A". It matches the Rfam family "Bacterial RNase P class A". Rfam says of the family: Ribonuclease P (RNase P) is a ubiquitous endoribonuclease, found in archaea, bacteria and eukarya as well as chloroplasts and mitochondria. Lineage: Bacteria; Pseudomonadati; Bacteroidota; Flavobacteriia; Flavobacteriales; Flavobacteriaceae. The record is from Rfam by way of RNAcentral.
AAAACAAGCCGUCUUAUCGCACUGACGAUUAAUGUCAGUAAGGAAAGUCCGGACACCAUAGUGCAGAUAGCGGGUAACGCCCGUCAUCUUGAUGAAUAAUCAGGAUUGGACAAGUGCAACAGAAAGCAAGUACAGUUAGGCUGUAGUGAAAUCAGGUAAACUCUAUGCGGUGCAAUACCAUGUAAACCAAGGCUUGAAAGUGGCACGCUUGAUCUUGGAGGGUUGGUAGCUUGAGAUUUAGAGCAAUCUAAAUUCUAGAUAAAUGAUAAGAUUCCGUCAAGGCGGAAACAGAAUCCGGCUUAUAGGCUUGUUUUAUUU